This 563-nucleotide long non-coding RNA is filed under the name Pan troglodytes (chimpanzee). RNAcentral describes it as "long non-coding RNA NONPTRT001458". Lineage: Eukaryota; Metazoa; Chordata; Mammalia; Primates; Hominidae. The record is from RNAcentral.
AGUUAAUGUUGCUUUUUCUACUUCCCAAAGCCUCUCACACUAUGCUAUCUCACUGACCAGCAAAGUCUUCUCUUUCUCUGACCACACAGUCCUUUUCACGGGAACACAAGGACAUAGACAAACGCUUCACGGUGGAAAACCUUCCUGGAGUGAGUCAGCCAGCCCUGAGGAUGGUGACUCCUACAGGACAACCAGGGACAAUCAUCUUCACAGGAACCUAUCCUCCCUGCUGGUAAACCUAAUCCUAUAGAUGCAAGAAGGCCUGUAUAUACAGAAGCAAUCCUGCAGUCAGCAAUGGAGCCUCUCUUCUCUUAAGUGACAGAGAAACUGAGUCACAAAAUAGUCUAGGAGUAGAAUGAUGGUUGCUAGAGGAUACAAGGAGUGGGAAAUGUGGAGUUGGUGUUCAAUGGAGAUAAAGCUGCAGUCUUGGAAGAUGAAAAGAUGAAACCUGUGGUUUUGGAGAUGGAUGGUGUGAUGGUUGCAUAACAAUGCGAAUGUACUUAGUGCCACUGCACUGUACACUUAAAUGCUAAACCUAGUACAUUUUAUGUUAUAUAUAUUUU